RNAcentral lists this ribosomal RNA (427 nucleotides) under uncultured bacterium. RNAcentral's name for it is "bacterial SSU rRNA". It matches the Rfam family "Bacterial small subunit ribosomal RNA", at positions 355 to 774 of the family's 1533-position model. The record is from RNAcentral.
UGGGGAAUUUUGGACAAUGGGCGCAAGCCUGAUCCAGCCAUUCCGCGUGCAGGAUGAAGGCCUUCGGGUUGUAAACUGCUUUUGUACGGAACGAAAAGACUCCUUCUAAUAAAGGGGGUCCAUGACGGUACCGUAAGAAUAAGCACCGGCUAACUACGUGCCAGCAGCCCCGGUCAUACGUAGGGUGCGAGCGUUAAUCGGAAUUACUGGGCGUAAAGCGUGCGCAGUCGGUUAUAUAAGACAGAGGUGAAAUCCCCGGGCUAAACCUGGGACCUGCGUUGGUGACUGUAUAGCUAGAGUAGGGUAGAGGGGGAUGGAGUUCCGCGGGUAGCAGUGAAAUGCGUAGAUAUGCGGAGGAACACCGAUGGCGAGGGCAAUCCCCUGGACCUGUACUGACGCUCAUGCGCGAAAGCGUGGGAAGCAAACA